AUGCUUUACGACACGCACAAGGGUAUUUUUGCAUCGGAGGUGGAUGAUGUUGUUGGCAAGUUUGGACAGUGUUUAAAGGGAUUGCAGUGCAACCGGAUGGCAGCCCUCCUUCGUGAUGUUGGAGACGCCAUCACAGCUACCAGUGAGCCCAACUUCUCCUUUGAAGCACCUAUCAUGGACGAAUGUCGCGGAAAAGAGAAUGAUGGUAAAGCUGCAAAUGCUGGCAUUGGUGCUCAAGCUCAAGCUGAAGAUACAACACCUAGCAUUAACAAGGAUGAAGUCACCGGAUUGAAGCAACAAGUUGCAACCGAGGCUGCUGAAACUCCUGAGCAACAACGAGUGAGUUUCGAUAUGGAAGGCAACGUCUCACCUCACAGCCCCCCACUCUUCUAUGAUGCACCUAGGAGUGCGACAGCUGGCAUUUGGGACGACGAGCCAUCCUGUGAGUUGUUCCCAAAGGGCUCCGAAGAGUACGAGAUGAUGCAUUGCACGGAUGAGCCUAUAACCAAGAAGAGGGCAGUCAGCCCCAUAUUUGAAAACAUCCCCGUGUUCCCUGUUUCAGACGAUGAUGACAGCCCAAAUGGUCGCUACAGAAGAGCAAAUUGUUGA
RNAcentral lists this ribosomal RNA (609 nucleotides) under Triticum aestivum (bread wheat). RNAcentral's name for it is "partial small subunit ribosomal RNA". The record is from RNAcentral. Lineage: Eukaryota; Viridiplantae; Streptophyta; Magnoliopsida; Poales; Poaceae.